AUCUCCUCCCUUCGUACGUCGCCCCGUCUCUUCGUAUGUCGCCCAGCCCCCUCCCGUCCGAUCCGCGCCCGCCGCCGCGCGCGUCCUCCUCCCCCGCCCGCCCGCCGCCGCGCUUCCUCCUCCCCCGCCCGCCCGCCGGGGCACGCAUCCUCCUCCACCCGCCGGCGCGUGUCAUCCUCCGCCCGCCGGCGUGCGUCAUCCUCCUCCGCCCGCCGCCGCUCGCAUGGCACCGAAGCGCCCGGUCGCGCCCGCCGCGGCGCCGUCGGGGUCCGCGUCCGAGGCCUCCGACGCGGAGGCGGACGCGCCCCUGCACCACCCCUCCUCCCCGUCGCCAUCCAAGACGCCGCCGCCGCCGCCCAACCCUAACCCUAAUUCGUCCGCCGCCGCGCCCGCCUUGGUCGGAGGAGGAGCUCUAGGGCGCUGUUGCCGAGCGGCCGGCCAGACUCCGUGCAGUGCGUGAGGAAGCACGCGGUUGCGGGCGUGUGCCAGCACGCGCUCCUGCUAGCACCACGGCACGACCAUGCCGCGGCCCGCGACAGCGUCAAGUAACCCCUGUGAGAGCAGCGGGCGGGUGUCCGACCGUAACACGGUGGAGCUAGCUGCUUGUGAAUGGGAGGGGGACGGAGGCACAGAGCAGCGGUGCCACCCAUGCGGAUUUUCGGAUAAUGCCGGCGGCCGGCGGCGGGGGCACGAAUAGGUCGUUUGCAGUUGCAGCAGAUGUUGUCGCACGAGCUGCUCGAGGACAUCUGUAGGAAUUGGUUCGUGCUGAACUUGCCCAAGAAGGAGCUGAUCAAUGGAGUUGAUUGGUGGAGCCUAUUCUUGCUGGAGCAACCCCAACCUCAAGUUUCUCUCCUUGAAUCCUUCAAGGAUUUCGCCUCUCAGUAAAUCUGCGUGUACCUAAAUGCAUCAGUGUCACUAGAUUGACAUUUGACACUACUUUCAUUGCGUUCAAGAUAAUAGAGAUGCAAACUGUUAUCAGACCCAA
Panicum virgatum (switchgrass) is the source of this 985-nucleotide long non-coding RNA. RefSeq lists it as uncharacterized. The record is from RefSeq and is a predicted model, not a curated record. The transcript is spliced from 2 exons. Lineage: Eukaryota; Viridiplantae; Streptophyta; Magnoliopsida; Poales; Poaceae.